Molecule: ribosomal RNA, 215 nt
Filed under: uncultured bacterium
Lineage: Bacteria
Description: partial 16S ribosomal RNA
Rfam family: Bacterial small subunit ribosomal RNA
Source: RNAcentral
UCGGAACGUGCCCAAUCGUGGGGGAUAACGUAGCGAAAGCUACGCUAAUACCGCAUACGAUCUACGGAUGAAAGCAGGGGACUCGCAAGAGCCUUGCGCGAAUGGAGCGGCCGAUGGCAGAUUAGGUAGUUGGUGGGGUAAAGGCUCACCAAGCCUUCGAUCUGUAGCUGGUCUGAGAGGACGACCAGCCACACUGGGACUGAGACACGGCCCAG